RNAcentral lists this ribosomal RNA (397 nucleotides) under uncultured Alphaproteobacteria bacterium. Its description in RNAcentral is "bacterial SSU rRNA". It matches the Rfam family "Bacterial small subunit ribosomal RNA", at positions 9 to 430 of the family's 1533-position model. The record is from RNAcentral. Lineage: Bacteria; Pseudomonadati; Pseudomonadota; Alphaproteobacteria.
GAGUUUGAUCAUGGCUCAGAGCGAACGCUGGCGGCAGGCUUAACACAUGCAAGUCGAGCGGCCGUAGCAAUACGGAAGCGGCAGACGGGAGAGUAACACGUGGGAACGUGCCCUUUAGUUCGGAAUAGGCCAGGGAAACUUGGGUUAAUACCGGAUAAGCCCUAACGGGGAAAGAUUUAUCGCUAAAGGAUCGGCCCACGUCUGAUUAGCUAGUUGGUGAGGUAAUGGCUCGACCAAGGCGACGAUCAGUAGCUGGUCUGAGAGGAUGACCAGCCUCACUGGGACUGAGACACGGCCCAGACUCCUACGGGAGGCAGCAGUGGGGAAUAUUGGACAAUUGGGCGCAAGCCUGAUCCAGCCAUGCCGCGUGGGUGAUGAAGGCCCUAGGGUUGUAAAG